UAGCAGCACAUAAAUAUUGGCA
RNAcentral lists this microRNA (22 nucleotides) under Scyliorhinus torazame (cloudy catshark). Its description in RNAcentral is "Sto-Mir-15-P2d_5p (mature (guide))". Lineage: Eukaryota; Metazoa; Chordata; Chondrichthyes; Carcharhiniformes; Scyliorhinidae. The record is from RNAcentral.